GACAACUUGAGGCACAAAAAGUGAAGUAGAAAAUGAUAUGACCCAAUUUAACAAAAAUUUAGUUUUCAUUAAGAAGUUUGAACUAAACAGUACAUUGAAACAGAACUCAAUGAAUAUGGAUUUUUUAUAGCUUGUAAACUAAGCCUUCCAAAAGAUUAUACAAGUUUAACCGGCCAUUAUAGUCUCUUCAGAAAGCAAUCUAAUACACAAAAAGCAUAUCAUAUUGUCAUCAUUCACUUCGUUCCAGUCAGCUUCCAUAU
This 260-nucleotide unclassified non-coding RNA is filed under the name Hevea brasiliensis (rubber tree). The record is from RNAcentral. Lineage: Eukaryota; Viridiplantae; Streptophyta; Magnoliopsida; Malpighiales; Euphorbiaceae.